Molecule: transfer RNA, 69 nt
Filed under: Sicyopterus eudentatus
Lineage: Eukaryota; Metazoa; Chordata; Actinopteri; Gobiiformes; Gobiidae
Description: tRNA-His
Rfam family: tRNA
About the family: Transfer RNA (tRNA) molecules are approximately 80 nucleotides in length. Their secondary structure includes four short double-helical elements and three loops (D, anti-codon, and T loops).
Source: RNAcentral
GUAGACAUAGUUUAACAAAAACCUUAGAUUGUGAUUCUAAAAACAGAGGUUAAAAUCCUCUUGUCCACC